UAUACGCUAUUCUUUUUUCGAAAAGGAUAGGAAAGCCGGGUCGAGGACCUGGUACUCAAGGGAGGGGCUCAUGUCCUAUCAGCUUGUUGGUGGGGUAACGGCCUACCAAGGCUACGACGGGUAGCUGGUCUGAGAGGAUGAUCAGCCACACUGGCACUGAGAUACGGGCCAGACUCCUACGGGAGGCAGCAGUGAGGAAUAUUGCGCAAUGGGCGAAAGCCUGACGCAGCGACGCCGCGUGGGGGAUGAAGGUUUUCGGAUUGUAAAACCCCUUUCAUGAGGAAAGAUAAAGUGGGUAACCACUUAGACGGUACCUCAAGAAGAAGCCACGGCUAACUUCGUG
This 343-nucleotide ribosomal RNA is filed under the name uncultured bacterium. RNAcentral describes it as "bacterial SSU rRNA". It matches the Rfam family "Bacterial small subunit ribosomal RNA", at positions 172 to 507 of the family's 1533-position model. The record is from RNAcentral.